Molecule: ribosomal RNA, 578 nt
Filed under: Bacillus cereus
Lineage: Bacteria; Bacillati; Bacillota; Bacilli; Caryophanales; Bacillaceae
Description: bacterial SSU rRNA
Rfam family: Bacterial small subunit ribosomal RNA
Source: RNAcentral
UGAAGUUAGCGGCGGACGGGUGAGUAACACGGUGGGUUAACCUGCCCAUAAGACUGGGAUAACUCCGGGAAACCGGGGCUAAUACCGGAUAACAUUUUGAACUGCAUGGUUCGAAAUUGAAAGGCGGCUUCGGCUGUCACUUAUGGAUGGACCCGCGUCNCAUUAGCUAGUUGGUGAGGUAACGGCUCACCAAGGCAACGAUGCGUAGCCGACCUGAGAGGGUGAUCGGCCACACUGGGACUGAGACACGGCCCAGACUCCUACGGGAGGCAGCAGUAGGGAAUCUUCCGCAAUGGACGAAAGUCUGACGGAGCAACGCCGCGUGAGUGAUGAAGGCUUUCGGGUCGUAAAACUCUGUUGUUAGGGAAGAACAAGUGCUAGUUGAAUAAGCUGGCACCUUGACGGUACCUAACCAGAAAGCCACGGCUAACUACGUGCCAGCAGCCGCGGUAAUACGUAGGUGGNAAGCGUUAUCCGGAAUUAUUGGGCGUAAAGCGCGCNCAGGUGGUUUCUUAAGUCUGAUGUGAAAGCCCACGGCUCAACCNUGGAGGGUCAUUGGAAACUGGGAGACUUGAGUG